CCUUGACAUACUAAGAACUUUCCAGAGAUGGAUUGGUGCCUUCGGGAACUUAGAUACAGGUGCUGCAUGGCUGUCGUCAGCUCGUGUCGUGAGAUGUUGGGUUAAGUCCCGNAACGAGCGCAACCCUUUUCCUAUUUGCCAGCGGGUCAUGCCGGGAACUUUAAGGAUACUGCCAGUGACAAACUGGAGGAAGGCGGGGACGACGUCAAGUCAUCAUGGCCCUUACGGCCAGGGCUACACACGUGCUACAAUGGUCGGUACAAAGGGUUGCUACCUCGCGAGAGGAUGCUAAUCUCAAAAAGCCGAUUGUAGUCCGGAUCGCAGUCUGCAACUCGACUGCGUGAAGUCGGAAUCGCUAGUAAUCGCGGAUCAGAAUGCCGCGGUGAAUACGUUCCCGGGCCUUGUACACACCGCCCGUCACACCAUGGGAGUUUGUUGCACCAGAAGUAGGUAGUCUAACCGCAAGGAGGACGCUUACCACGGUGUGGCCGAUGACUGGGGUGAAGUCGUAACAAGGUAAGCGUAGAUGA
Molecule: ribosomal RNA, 530 nt
Filed under: uncultured bacterium
Lineage: Bacteria
Description: bacterial SSU rRNA
Rfam family: Bacterial small subunit ribosomal RNA
Source: RNAcentral